This 460-nucleotide ribosomal RNA is filed under the name uncultured bacterium. Its description in RNAcentral is "partial 16S ribosomal RNA". It matches the Rfam family "Bacterial small subunit ribosomal RNA", at positions 338 to 795 of the family's 1533-position model. The record is from RNAcentral.
CCUACGGGAGGCAGCAGUGAGGAAUAUUGGUCAAUGGCCGGAAGGCUGAACCAGCCAUGCCGCGUGAAGGUCAGUGCCCUAUGGGCGUUAAACUUCUUUUGUGCGGGAGCAAUAAUGGUCACUUGUGGCCAGACGAGAGUACCGUACGAAUAAGCAUCGGCUAACUCCGUUCCAGCAGCCGCGGUAAUACUGGGGAUGCAAGCGUUAUCCGGGGUUUUUGGGUUUAAAGGGUGCGUAGGCUGGGAGGUAAGUCAGCGGUGAAAUGCCCCCGAUGAACGGGGUGAAGUGCCAUUGAUACUGCCGUGCUGGAAUGCGGAUGCCGUGGGAGGAAUGUGUGGUGUAGCGGUGAAAUGCAUAGAUAUCACACAGAACACCGAUUGCGAAGACAUCUCACGAAUCCGCGAUUGACGCUGAUGCACGAAAGCGUGGGUAUCAAACAGGAUUAGAUACCCGAGUAGUC